UACGAAGGGGGCUAGCGUUGCUCGGAAUCACUGGGCGUAAAGGGUGCGUAGGCGGGUUUUUAAGUCAGGGGUGAAAUCCUGGAGCUCAACUCCAGAACUGCCUUUGAUACUGAAGAUCUCGAGUCCGGGAGAGGUGAGUGGAACUGCGAGUGUAGAGGUGAAAUUCGUAGAUAUUCGCAAGAACACCAGUGGCGAAGGCGGCUCACUGGCCCCGGUACUG
Molecule: ribosomal RNA, 220 nt
Filed under: uncultured bacterium
Lineage: Bacteria
Description: partial 16S ribosomal RNA
Rfam family: Bacterial small subunit ribosomal RNA
Source: RNAcentral